UACGAAUGGGGCAAGCGUUGUUCGGAAUCACUGGGCUUAAAGCGUGCGUAGGCGGACAUGUAAGUCAGAAGUGAAAGCCCCGGGCUCAACCCGGGAACUGCUUUUGAAACUGCACGUCUAGAAACCAGGAGAGGUUGGGAGAAUUCCGAGUGUAGAGGUGAAAUUCGCAGAUAUUCGGAGGAAUACCAGUGGCGUAGGCGCCCAACUGGACUGGCAUUGACGCUGAGGCACGAAAGCGUGGGUAGCAAACAGG
RNAcentral lists this ribosomal RNA (253 nucleotides) under uncultured bacterium. RNAcentral describes it as "partial 16S ribosomal RNA". It matches the Rfam family "Bacterial small subunit ribosomal RNA", at positions 524 to 776 of the family's 1533-position model. The record is from RNAcentral.